RNAcentral lists this ribosomal RNA (271 nucleotides) under uncultured archaeon. RNAcentral describes it as "partial 16S ribosomal RNA". It matches the Rfam family "Archaeal small subunit ribosomal RNA", at positions 477 to 747 of the family's 1478-position model. The record is from RNAcentral.
CAGCGCCACGAGUGGCAAUCACGUUUAUUGGGCCUAAAGCGUCCGUAGCCGGUUUAGCAAAUCUUUUGUGAAAUCGUCAGGCUUAACUUGACGAAUUGCAGAAGACACUACUAAACUAGGGACUGGGAGGAGUCAGAAGUAUUCUGGGGGGACCGGUAAAAUGGUAUAAUCCCCAGAGGACUACCGAUGGCGAAGGCAUCUGACCAGAACAGAUCCGACGGUGAGGGACGAAAGCCAGGGGAGCAAACCGGAUUAGAUACCCGAGUAGUCC